Molecule: long non-coding RNA, 2153 nt
Organism: Xiphophorus couchianus (Monterrey platyfish)
Lineage: Eukaryota; Metazoa; Chordata; Actinopteri; Cyprinodontiformes; Poeciliidae
Exons: 2
Source: RefSeq, a predicted model, not a curated record
AAGUAAAAAUCCAAAUAAAGUUUCGUUAAAAUGAUACGGAUUUAUGCCGAGAGCCAGAAGUUUCAAAUGAACAGCAUGAGGUCAUUUUAACUUUUAAUCACAUUUACAUAGAAAAUUCCCAAACUUCUGAAUGAUUCAAGUCAUUUAAAGAGAUACAAGACAAACAGUGGACGCGGUGAAAAUUAAAAUCACUUAAUAUGAUUUUAGCCUUUCUAUUUAAUCAAUGUCAUUUGUCCAAUGGACAUGCGCUCACCAAGGACCAGUGUUUAAAGUUUUGUUGCGGUAAAGUUAUAGAAAAUCAAAAAUCAGGGCAAUGUUUUGCAAAUUCAAUACAGGGACGUUCAAUGGAAAUUCAAUGCAUUUAAAAAUCCACACAAAGAUUUGGGAUGUUUGGCUGGUGAAAUUUCUGGAAAAUGUAAAAAGUUCACACUAUAGUGACACAUCAUGAAAGUAGGGCAUCUAAGAAGAUCUUAAUGUAUUGAAAUCAAAGCCAAUAGUGGCAAGUUUGCCACAGCAAAAAAUACAUCAAACAUCUAUUGUUAAUUUAGUCAUUAAGGUUCUUUUUGUGUAAAAAGUACUGAAACAUUAACAGUUGGACCCAAUGCGUUCAGAAGCUUAGAGGAGGUCACAUUAACUUCACCUGGAAAGGUUAAAGUGCAUUUUAGGUUCAUCCUAAAAUUUCACCAGGAAGCCAAACAUAUCUGACUUUUCGUGAGCAAAAACAGAGCAGGUUCAUACACCAAGUAAAGCACCCAGACUGGUGGGAGUUAAGUUUUACUAGAUCUACUUCCCUGUUUUCCAAUCUUCUGCAACAAUUUAUCAAUGAUGCAAAUUUUAGGAAACGUUCAGAAAUCUUUUUAGAUUCACAAAUAGAAAAGGCUAAGACACAUUAAGCCACAACAAUUGCGUUUCAAGAAAAGUGCUUCCAGUGCUGGUUCAGAGCUGAGUGUAGCUCAAGUCUUUCUUAAAAAAACAACAGGAACCCUGAUUAAUCUCCGCUGCGCUGAGUCUAGAGAUGCAGCUAACAAUUAUUUUAGUAACUCAUUAUUCUAUCGAUUAUUAUGACGAUUACGGUAAUUGGAGAAAAUUUUUUUUCACUUUGUGAAGAUUUUUUAUUUAUCCACUCAAGGCUUUUUAUAAUAUGGAAAUAUACAAAUUAUUCAAAUUUUUACAUUUUUUAAAUAAUUAAAAGUUUUGAUGACUAGAAUGCUAUGACAGCACUCCUUUAGUGUAUGCUUCACCAUUUGUAGGAACGGAUGCAUCUGCAGCUAAAAAAAAAUACAUCUAGCAUCAACAUGUAAAAAGUUCAGCCCUACUUGAUUUAACAUCUAUAGGGUAGGGCUGAUCUGUUGAUUAUUUUUUUAAAUAAAUUAAUUAAUAACUGGAUAGCAAAAGGUGCUUAGUAAGAGUUUUGGAGUUAAAAUAAGCCCCUUGUUCUGGGUAGAACAUAACACACGUAUAUGUUUUUUGUACAAUUUUGGCUUACUUACUGCUCUGGGUAUGUUUUUCUUUCAGUAAACUGCUUUUUAUUGAGUCUGCAUACUUCAGAAAACAAUUAUUCAAUUUCAAAAGUUAUUUAAUCCAGUUAAUUGUUUCAGCCCUAAUAUAUUCCAGUUAAUAAUUAAACAUCUUUUCUGCAUGACAGAAGGUUUUGUAUAUAAAAAGGCCAAAACGUAAGCAAUAUGACACUACACACUGAACACACCACCGCCACACUAAAGCAUGUUGGUGGAGAUGCCUUUUUUCCCCACCCAGCAAGAUUAAUGAUGCUGGUGUAAGUCCAGCUGCAUGCGAGACCAACCUUCAACAGUUAAAACAAAAAUCAAUUAAUGCUAAAUAACAAAAUGCACUAAACAAGCACUGGAACCACUUUGGUGGAGAAACAAACCCAUACAGGAGAAGUGAACGUUACAUUACAUCAAGAAAACGGCAACAUGCAAAUGAUGUGAUAGGAAACUAUGGAUCCACCGACCAAAUCACACAACAUGCUGCCUCCGUAAAGACAAUGUACACAAGUAGAUGGUUCAUCUGGGCUACAUGUGCGCCUAUGAUUGGCUGGAGGGCUGAAGCCUGCCACCAAUCAUAAACUCACCAAGUAGAGCUGACAACACUUGAGUAAAACAGCUAAAAUUAAAGCUUUUUAAAAUAAAACA